GUUUUCCUCAAAAGCAUUCUAAACUCUACCGAGACUGUAGCAAGAGGAAGGGUCCAGAGCUUGGACCCAAAUGAUCUAGUUGGUAGUACAGAGAUUGGACCAGAAUGGUGUGAGGUAAACGUUCAAGUACCAAUAAAAAAGGAUGAAAACUUGGUAAGACCAUAUGGUUUAUUUUCUACAAUUCAAGAUUGUAUUGGUGCAUCCAUCAUAUGGCCCUAUCCAUUCAUCUCGGUAGUCCAUGAGGAUUGAGGAUGCAUGAUAACUCAAGAUUUUAUGCUUCUUAUUUCUUUAAUUGCUUUUAAUUUCUUUGUUAAAUGUUAAGACUUUAUGUUAGAUAAUGUUAUAACUUAUUUAUGGUUAGUGUUUUUAUUAUGAACAUGCUUAUUUGAAAUAUAAUGAAGUUUUAUU
Molecule: long non-coding RNA, 408 nt
Filed under: Helianthus annuus (common sunflower)
Lineage: Eukaryota; Viridiplantae; Streptophyta; Magnoliopsida; Asterales; Asteraceae
Description: sRNA HanXRQr2_Chr08g0336781
Source: RNAcentral